RNAcentral lists this ribosomal RNA (496 nucleotides) under uncultured bacterium. Its description in RNAcentral is "partial 16S ribosomal RNA". It matches the Rfam family "Bacterial small subunit ribosomal RNA", at positions 29 to 507 of the family's 1533-position model. The record is from RNAcentral.
AUGAACGCUGGCGGCGUGCCUAAUACAUGCAAGUCGAGCGAACGGACGAGAAGCUUGCUUCUCUGAUGUUAGCGGCGGACGGGUGAGUAACACGUGGAUAACCUACCUAUAAGACUGGGAUAACUUCGGGAAACCGUAGCUAAUACCGGAUAAUAUUUUGAACCGCAUGGUUCAAAAGUGAAAGACGGUCUUGCUGUCACUUAUAGAUGGAUCCGCGCUGCAUUAGCUAGUUGGUAAGGUAACGGCUUACCAAGGCAACGAUGCAUAGCCGACCUGAGAGGGUGAUCGGCCACUCUGGAACUGAGACACGGUCCAGACUCCUACGGGAGGCAGCAGUAGGGAAUCUUCCGCAAUGGGCGAAAGCCUGACGGAGCAACGCCGCGUGAGUGAUGAAGGUCUUCGGAUCGUAAAACUCUGUUAUUAGGGAAGAACAUAUGUGUAAGUAACUGUGCACAUCUUGACGGUACCUAAUCAGAAAGCCACGGCUAACUACGUG